This 423-nucleotide ribosomal RNA is filed under the name Triticum aestivum (bread wheat). RNAcentral describes it as "partial small subunit ribosomal RNA". The record is from RNAcentral. Lineage: Eukaryota; Viridiplantae; Streptophyta; Magnoliopsida; Poales; Poaceae.
AUGGAACCCUAUGUUGGCAUGAGGUUUGACAUCCUUCAAAUUGCUAAGGAUCACUACAACAGCUAUGCACUACGGAUGGGUUUCUCUAUCAAGAUGAACACCUCUAGAUGGACACCCCGCACCAAUGAAUUGAUAAAACAACAUUUUUGCUGCAACAAGUUCAAGAAGCCCAAAGCUGAUGAUGGAGGAGCUGAGGCUCCUUCUCAGACUCAGUGCAAGGCAAAAAAGUUGGUGAAGCUGAUAGAUGGGCGAUGGGAGGUGACACACUUUGUUCGUGACCACAAUCAUCUGCUCGUGAACAAACCUUCAUUGUCCAAAUACUUGAGAUACCACCAAGGCAUCUCACCUGAUGAAAAGGAGUUUCUGCGCAUCUUGUAUAACUGCAACUUGACUACAUGUGUGGUAUUUUUCUAUAUCCCUUAA